CUACGUGCCAGCAGCCGCGGUAAUACGGAGGGUGCGAGCGUUAAUCGGAAUAACUGGGUGUAAAGGGCACGCAGGCGGUGACUUAAGUGAGGUGUGAAAGCCCCGGGCUUAACCUGGGAAUUGCAUUUCAUACUGGGUCGCUAGAGUACUUUAGGGAGGGGUAGAAUUCCACGUGUAGCGGUGAAAUGCGUAGAGAUGUGGAGGAAUACCGAAGGCGAAGGCAGCCCCUUGGGAAUGUACUGACGCUCAUGUGCGAAAGCGUGGGGAGCAAACAGGAUUAGAUACCCUGGUAGUCCACGCUGUAAACGAUGUCGAUUUGGGGAUUGGGCUUUAAGCUUGGUGCCCGUAGCUAACGUGAUAAAUCGACCGCCUGGGGAGUACGGCCGCAAGGUUAAAACUCAAAUGAAUUGACGGGGGCCCGCACAAGCGGUGGAGCAUGUGGUUUAAUUCGAUGCAACGCGAAGAACCUUACCUACUCUUGAC
RNAcentral lists this ribosomal RNA (483 nucleotides) under uncultured bacterium. Its description in RNAcentral is "bacterial SSU rRNA". It matches the Rfam family "Bacterial small subunit ribosomal RNA", at positions 501 to 985 of the family's 1533-position model. The record is from RNAcentral.